GAUGAACGCUGGCGGCGUGCCUAAUACAUGCAAGUCGAGCGAACAGACGAGGAGCUUGCUCCUCUGACGUUAGCGGCGGACGGGUGAGUAAUACGUGGAUAACCUACCUAUAAGACUGGGAUAACUUCGGGAAACCGGAGCUAAUACCGGAUAAUAUAUUGAACCGCAUGGUUCAAUAGUGAAAGACGGUUUUGCUGUCACUUAUAGAUGGAUCCCGGCCGCAUUAGCUAGUUGGUAAGGUAACGGCUUACCAAGGCAACGAGGCGUAGCCGACCUGAGAGGGUGGUCGCCCACAUGGGAGCGGGGCCACGCACCAGACUCCUGCGGGAGGGCGCAGUCGGGUACGUGCCGCAGCAGUCGAGAGCCUUACGGAGUAGGCCCGCGUGAGAGGUGACGGUCUUGGGUUCGUAAUGCCCUGUUACUAGGUAUGAACAAAUGUGUACUUAACUAUGCACGUCUUGACGGUACCUAGUAAGAAAGCCCCGGCUAACUACGUG
This 497-nucleotide ribosomal RNA is filed under the name uncultured bacterium. Its description in RNAcentral is "partial 16S ribosomal RNA". It matches the Rfam family "Bacterial small subunit ribosomal RNA", at positions 28 to 507 of the family's 1533-position model. The record is from RNAcentral.